GAAAUCAGGAAAAAGAGAUAUUUGUCCUAAUUUUAAUCUUUGUUUAUAUUUACAUAGACUUGGAAAAAAUGUUCUGCAUUUUAUACCAGAGAACAAAUACAGAGGAGAGAGAGCAACUAAGUGCUCUGUGUCUCUGCCUGCUAUUUUAACAAGAGGUCCCCAUGCUGAUACGGGUUUGUAUCAUCAUUGGCUAAGGAUUCUGUGCUUUUAAAAAAAUUACUAGCUAGGUCACAAACUCAUUUUACCUGUCAUCUCCUGGAUGAAGGAAACAGUAUGAUUGUUGAAAUGAUUGUUAAAUGGCUGAUGUUGGUGCCUCUUGGUCAGUUUAAAAUACUAAUCUAACUUUUUUUAGGGUAUUGAGAGUGUUAUUACAUGGAUGGGCAACAGUUCUUCACUUGAGUUUGGUUCACUGUUUUUGUUUGUUGAAACACUGGCAAAAAUUACAAGUUUUUUAUUUUCUAUUUUUAUUAUGCAGAAGGCCCAAGUUGUAACAUUCAGGACAUGGACUUUUUGAAAAUAUGAUGGAGUCUUAGGGCAAGAACUAAGUUGGUUUCCUGCCAGAUCAGAGCUGCUGCCUGGGGAAAACAAGCAAUAGAGGAAAGGCUACUAAGAGAUUGUUUUUUUUCUUUUGACAGCUGCCUAAUCUAUCUGAAUUUGGAAGGUCAUAGUCAGAAGGCAUAGAAGGAGUAAUAAUAGCAAAGUGUGUUUUAGAGAAUGCCCUGCUGCUUUAUGGCUAUCAGGAAAAUACCACAGGAAUGAAUUUUUAAAAAUAGCUCAGUGUUACAGGCACAGGGGGUGUGACUGUGGCUGCAGGAAAAUGUUCUAGUUUCUUUUUUCCUAAAGUCAAAAAAUUCCUGUUUGCUUAAUAUUUAUCUCGAGAAAUAAAUUGGCCUCUCGUGCCAGAGAAAACAGUGUUUGGGUUCAGCAAGUCCUGAGGCAAAGAAACUUUGUUAUUGUUUCGGCAGGAUCUGGAAAAUGCUGCCAGGUGCAGUGCUCGAUACCUAACUUCAAUGUUCCUUGUAGAUGGGGAGGCCUGAACUUAAAAGUAUGCAGCUGAGGAGAAAGGCUUUGAUAGCCUGUUUUUCAUCAAAAGCUCAAGACCACAGCAGCCCAGAGAGCUGGAAGAUGGAAAGAAGAAAGUUGAGGUCUUGGAAUAAACUGGAGGGUAAAAUGCUUUUGGAGAAACUCUGAAAGCUUUGUGAGGAGGAGGAAAAGGAAGUGUGGGGGGAUGAGAGACACAGAAGGAGGGAAGCUGUACCCCACAUGGUGUGCUGUGGUGAGCACAUGCAGCUCCAAAGCACACACACCAGCAAGGUAAGAAACACUCCAGUUCUGAGUUUACAGCCCUGGCUGCUUGCUGCUUAAUCAAAGACUUGGUCAUGCUUAGAAGCAGGACCAGUGCCCACUCACCUGCUGUCAGUCCAGUGCACCCUCAGCAUCCCAGCUCCUGGGCUGCCCUGGCACUGUGGUGUGCCUGUGUGCAUUCAGGAGCUUGUGCUUCAUGGAAUGCCCAGUUGGGAAGGCUUACAGACAAGUGGAAAUUCUUCCAGUUCGAUUUGUGGAGACUUGGUUUGAAUCUGUUCACACCUGGAGGCUCCAGCCCUCAGUGAAGCUGGGGCAGUAGAGGCAGGAUUGGGUCCUGCCAAGAGUCAGAGCCUCAGCUGGGGCUGGUAGCAAGCAGCAAAACCUCUCCACCAGCCCACAGGGUUCCAAUGACUGGAGUUAGAGGAGGCAGCUUGAGAAGGCAUUUUACAGGUGAGACUAUAAACACUAUAAAGUGUAGUUUAUACAAUUGCUGGCUCUCUGUUGAAGAGCUUUUGAUAGGUUGAUUUCACUGUGGCUAAAUUGGAAGCUGUGCAGAAAAGUAGAAGUGUCCUGAAAUGUGAGGCUGCAAGAGCUCUCUCUGCAUGUCCUCACACUGCUCUGGUUUGUAUUGGUACAAAUGCAGUGUUUAAAAGUCUUUGAAUGUUGGUAGCUUUGUUUAGUUGAAGUUGAAGUUUAGUUACCUCUGGGGCCCUUACAGUGGUCUGCAUAUGAGAUAGGAAUGACAUGUUGUACCUAGGUAGGAUGAAAAACAGCUGUGGUGCACAGUAGAAUGUGAUAGAGAAGGAAGGGAUGUUGCAUUUCAAUUCUUUGCUGUGGGCAAAAAGGAUUGUUCAUUUUCAGAGACAGGAAAUAUAGGAUUUUAAACAAUAUUUCUUACUUUUGAGUAAAGACUCCAUUUACAGCAUCAGCUUUGAACUGCUGCUUGGAUGUUUAUUUCUGGAGAACAUGCAGUGAGUUUCCCAAAUGCUUGGCAAGGAACAGGGGCCUGUUAAAAAUUAACUAGAAGCUGAGAUAAAUCACAUACAAAUAGCUCAGGGAGCAUGGUGAAUUCAUCAGUGUCUGACGGACUUGCUUGUCUCAUGGCUGCCCAAGUUCCUCUGCAACAUGUUUUGGGUUUCUUAGCUUUGAGAUGCCCUGUCUAUCAUCUCCUUCAGGAGAGAAUGUCAGAUGCAUUUCUUUGAGCAUCAUUUUAAUGUCUCGCCUGAGUCCAGUGGUGAAAAAGGGAUGAAUGAAAAAGUUCCAGACUUCUGUAAGUCAAAGAUCUGUUAAUAAAGUUUCUCCCCUGCAAAAAUGCUGGAUAACAGAGGCUUUUAAUUUGUUACUGCUUUGAACUAGCUACUGUUGCAGGUUGACCUGAGUCUCUGUGACUGAGCAUCAGGAGGACAGUGUGAGGCAGGAGAAUUUGUGAGUUCAAAGGGAAUGGCACUUACCUGCUCUAGGUGUAUUUGCUUGCUUCUCUUAUCUGUCAUGUGGGUGAGUUUAUUCACCUUUCUUACAGCAGUAUGAAAAAGGGUGUGGAGAGGUGCACAGAAAAAAUUACUGCUCAUCCCUUGAAUGUGUUCAGGAAGCUCACAAGCAGCCUGACUCCCUCCACUGAAAGGCUGGUGGGCAAGGCUUGAGACCACUGGAGCAACCUGUGCCUGUUCUGCUGCAGCUCUGUGCAGUUCCCUUAUGAGUGCAAGAUGUUUCUCUUCCCGGAGGGAAGGGACUUGUUACCACUGAAACAUGAAGCAGGGAUUGUCUGUAUUGAGAGUCAGGACAGAGCCACCAUUCCAAGGAUAUUUUUGAUAGCAAGAUUUGAAAAUCCCCCUCACAUAUAUAUUUUGCAUGCUGCAGGAUUACCUUGUAGUUGCUGUUGGCAGCCUCAUGUGGUUUGGAGAUGCUGUGUUCCCAGGCUGCUCCAGUCUGACUGGCUGUUGGAAAACUCACAAGUCUUUGUCAGUUCAGGGCCGGAAAUGGAGUCCAGUUGUUUUGCAGUUGUGCACUGCAGAGUGCAAAUUCCAGGACUUCUUGCAUUCCCCAUUUGUGCCUCUUGUACUUUUAUGUGUAGCUGCUUCUUGAAGUGUCCCAAUUCCAAUCUGUCUGCUGCAUGCUCAGGAUAUUGCCUCACUUGGGGUGUUUGUGUGGUUUGUUACCUGCAGACUCGGACCCAGUUAUAGUACACAGGAUUUCAACUGGAGCAUCAAGUGCAGAGGGUGGUACAGAAUGAGUCUCCUCUGGUGAGGGUCUCUCUUUAGGGAGCAAGCAGGCUUCCAUGAGAGGGAAGGAAAAGCUCCUUACCUUAAUUAGGGCACAUGAAAGUUUGAAUUUGCCCUGUGUCUAUUUAGUAGCCUAGCUGAUACCUCUGGCAAAACCUGAGAGAAAAAUGAAGAGAGUUCUGUGCAUUAGGCACCACCUGGUCACAGCCAGCCACAGAGAAGGGUAGUCAUCAUUUGUUUGCUGCAAUGCCAGGCACUCUUUGGACAAGUGGUACCCUGGGAGGGGAUGGCUGAAUGAAAGCUGAAGAACAGUGUCAUGAAGAACUCGUGUGAGAGGCUGUGGGCUGGAGAUCUGUGGCCAAGUUGUAGUUGAAUCCUUACAAUUCCUGUCUAGCUCUCUAACUGCCAGCGUAAUCUGAUCAAAGGCCUCAUGGUGAUGAAGGCAUUCCUUGAUGUACCAUGUACUUUCUCUGCCUGUUUUUUGUAUUAAUGUAAUAUUUUUUCAAGCCUGUCACAUGUUUUUAUUUGGCAAGCAAAUUACUCCGAAAAUACCUGGCAGAGCAGUUCACAGUGAAUUUCACAGUGAAUUUCACAGUGAGUGUGCCAGGGCUGUUUGCUAAUACACACAGAUAAGCUGCCGGAAUGCCAAGGUCUCCUAAUCCCCAAAAACACCGCCUGAUGUACCUUAUGAGUAAUUAAACAUCACUCAGUUCUAAGAGGCAACCCUCAGUAACAGAGUUCACCCAACUAUAAUAUCUUUAAAAUCAGGAUAGAACCAGUGGCAUAUGACAGGAGGAUGACUGAAUUACUCACAGUUUAAUGACCCCUCUGACUAUGCAAUAGGGGUUCCUGGUUCCUAUGCAAACUGAUGGUCUCCACUUUAUUAUUAGUGAGCAGUUCCAGUGGCUUCAAACCCUAUGCAUUCAGAAAUGGCUAAAGAAAUCUCCUAGACUACUAGCAAGAAUCAUGCACAUUUGAGAGAGAACACUCAGCAGUGGGAUAUGGAAACUUUGAAGAGCUCCAACAACUUUGAUCCUCCAACUGAUCCAGGAAACUGAGAUAAGAUGACAACAUUCUUUGAGCCAACUCAGAACUUCAAAGGGAUGGAAGUCAAAGCGUCUCUCUUGAAUGCUCCUCUGAAUUCCUCUUAAUCAAAUUUCUUGCAGUUAUUUUUCUAAUUUAAAACAUAACUGGCACUGCUCACUACUUAUUUGCGCUUGGUUCUCUACUCUUAUUGUGCUGGAUGUCAGGAUGGACUUUGCUGAGGAUUCUGGUGGUGUCAUCACCAGCUGAGGUGACAUGCAUUGCAUGAGCUCCUCCCAAAUGAGGAGCUCUUGCUUUUGUGCUAGACUUGAACCCAGUGUGAGAAUCAAAGUAACUUUUCAUUGGAAGGCUUUUUUUUCUGUUCUUUGCAGUUCAAAGACACUGAUACUGAACUGGAGUGUAUUCCAGGUGUUUGUCAAACUCAAAAUGAAUACUGUAUCAAGAGUACUCAGGAUAAGUCUAAAAUGAGAACAUGGGCUGCUGAAAUGCAUGGCAAGUUAAAUCCUGGGAGAAAAGGGUGACAGGACUAUUCCUGGCCUGAAGAGAAGUCCAAAAGUAUUAAGUAUUAAUACUUAAGUAUUAAUACUUAAGUAUUAAGUCCAAAAGUUCAAAGUAUUAAGCUAAAAAAAUUAUUGGGAAAGUGCUGUAGUAACUCAUGGUCAGAGGAAAGCAGAGAGGAGCAUCCUUACCCUGUGUGCCAAAUGGAUCUUGGCUUCCUUGCUCAAACACUGAAUACAGGUUUGAAAGAGGUCACAACAAGUGCACAGGGAGAAUUGGUAAAAGCAGAGCCACUAGAAUGUGAUUUGAUUCAUUUUGUACUUGCAAUCCUGAAAACCUAUGUGGGGCUGAUUUCUGAAAUCUAGAGGUGGUUCAGUCUGUACUGUUGAAAACUUCUCUUUAUGCACCCUGAUGGUCUUUGGUCUGUUGGCAUUUUAAACAAAUGGAGCAUUACAGACAUUCCAAAUGCAUUUCCUCAUUUAUCGCUAGGUCUGCUUGAUGCAGUAGGUGGGGGUCUGAAAAAGGAAUCUCCUCAAGCUGUGAAAGUUAAUGCAGUCUUCUUUCAAAUCAUUGCUGAAACUUGCCACUAAAAUGUUUUGCAUUUCUUUCUAAAGCUGCAGGUUUACACCAAUGCAUUGUUCAAUUUAUUUUUUUGUUUUAAUUGAUGUGGAAAAUCUGAAGUUAUAAAAUGCUGUGUGACUAUGGGAUGUCAGGAUUAAAUAGCAGGAAAACCUCAGGCUGUAUUUUCAUCCCUUUCUUGAGGCUCACAUGGAAAGGGCAGUCCUGACUGAGGUGUGUGGCUGGAGGGAGCUGCCUGAAAAGCACCUGGAGAGCAAGACCUGGAGAAGGAUCCUUACAACAGAACCUCUGAGUGACUUCACGUUGUCUAUUCAAAAGAUGGAGAGAAGGCAACACACAGAGUCACAGCACAACCAGCUUUGGAGGCUUGUGCCACCUGUGGGAAGGGACCAUUCCUGGCAGUGUCAACAGGCUCAUCCUUACAAGAUCCAAGUUCAUCUUCUCCUGGCU
This is a long non-coding RNA of Catharus ustulatus (Swainson's thrush), 6095 nucleotides long. RefSeq lists it as uncharacterized. The transcript is spliced from 3 exons. NCBI's taxonomy places the organism in Eukaryota, Metazoa, Chordata, Aves, Passeriformes, Turdidae. The record is from RefSeq and is a predicted model, not a curated record.